This 516-nucleotide ribosomal RNA is filed under the name uncultured bacterium. RNAcentral's name for it is "bacterial SSU rRNA". It matches the Rfam family "Bacterial small subunit ribosomal RNA", at positions 30 to 518 of the family's 1533-position model. The record is from RNAcentral.
CGAACGCUGGCGGCGUGCCUAAUACAUGCAAGUCGAACGGUCUUUCUAUGGAAGCUUGCUUCCACUGAGAAGAUAGUGGCGAACGGGUGAGUAACACGUGGGUAACCUGCCCAUAAGAGGGGGAUAACAUCCGGAAACGGGUGCUAAUACCGCAUAGUUUUCUUGAUCGCAUGAUUGAGAAAGGAAAGACGGCCUUUGUGCUGUCGCUUAUGGAUGGACCCGCGGCGUAUUAGUUAGUUGGUGAGGUAACGGCUCACCAAGACGAUGAUACGUAGCCGACCUGAGAGGGUGAUCGGCCACAUUGGGACUGAGACACGGCCCAAACUCCUACGGGAGGCAGCAGUAGGGAAUCUUCCGCAAUGGACGAAAGUCUGACGGAGCAACGCCGCGUGAGUGAAGAAGGUUUUCGGAUUCCGUAAAACUCUGUUGUCAGAGAAGAACAAGUUGGAGAGUAACUGCUCCAGCCUUGACGGCAUCUGACCAGAAAGCCACGGCUAACUACGUGCCAGCAGCAGC